Molecule: ribosomal RNA, 454 nt
Filed under: uncultured Anaerolineaceae bacterium
Lineage: Bacteria; Bacillati; Chloroflexota; Anaerolineae; Anaerolineales; Anaerolineaceae
Description: bacterial SSU rRNA
Rfam family: Bacterial small subunit ribosomal RNA
Source: RNAcentral
ACGGGGACCCGCACAAGCAGCGGAGCGUGUGGUUAAUUCGUUGCUACACGAAGAACCUUACCUGGGUUGACAUAUAGGUUGUAGGGAACUGAAAAGGGACCGACCCUUCGGGGAGCCUAUUACAGGUGUUGCAUGGCUGUCGUCAGCUCGUGUCGUGAGAUGUUCGGUUAAGUCCGCUAACGAGCGCAACCCUCGUCGUAUGUUAUAUGUGUCAUACGAGACUGCCGGUAAAAAGCCGGAGGAAGGUGAGGAUGAUGUCAAGUCAGCAUGACCUUUAUAUCCAGGGCUACACACACGCUACAAUGGUCUGUACAAUGGGUAGCCAAGCCGCGAGGCGGAGCCAAUCCUGAAAGCAGGCCUCAGUUCGGAUUGGAGUCUGCAACUCGACUCCAUGAAGUUGGAAUCGCUAGUAAUCGCGUAUCAGCAUGACGCGGUGAAUACGUUCCCGGGCCUU